Molecule: ribosomal RNA, 490 nt
Filed under: uncultured bacterium
Lineage: Bacteria
Description: partial 16S ribosomal RNA
Rfam family: Bacterial small subunit ribosomal RNA
Source: RNAcentral
AUUGAACGCUGGCGGCAGGCCUAACACAUGCAAGUCGAACGGUAACAGGAAGCAGCUUGCUGCUUCGCUGACGAGUGGCGGACGGGUGAGUAAUGUCUGGGAAGCUGCCUGAUGGAGGGGGAUAACUACUGGAAACGGUAGCUAAUACCGCAUAAUGUCGCAAGACCAAAGAGGGGGACCUUCGGGCCUCUUGCCAUCGGAUGUGCCCAGAUGGGAUUAGCUUGUUGGUGGGGUAACGGCUCACCAAGGCGACGAUCCCUAGCUGGUCUGAGAGGAUGACCAGCCACACUGGAACUGAGACACGGUCCAGACUCCUACGGGAGGCAGCAGUGGGGAAUAUUACACAAUGGGCGCAAGCCUGAUGCAGCCAUGCCGCGUGUAUGAAGAAGGCCUUCGGGUUGUAAAGUACUUUCAGCGGGGAGGAAGGGAGUAAAGUUAAUACCUUUGCUCAUUGACGUUACCCGCAGAAGAAGCACCGGCUAACUCCGUG